GACGAACGCUGGCGGCGUGCUUAACACAUGCAAGUCGAACGGAAAGGCCCUGCUUUUGUGGGGUGCUCGAGUGGCGAACGGGUGAGUAACACGUGAGUAACCUGCCCUUGACUUUGGGAUAACUUCAGGAAACUGGGGCUAAUACCGGAUAGGGGCUCCUGCUGCAUGGUGGGGGUUGGAAAGUUUCGGCGGUUGGGGAUGGACUCGCGGCUUAUCAGCUUGUUGGUGGGGUAGUGGCUUACCAAGGCUUUGACGGGUAGCCGGCCUGAGAGGGUGACCGGCCACAUUGGGACUGAGAUACGGCCCAGACUCCUACGGGAGGCAGCAGUGGGGAAUAUUGCACAAUGGGCGGAAGCCUGAUGCAGCAACGCCGCGUGCGGGAUGACGGCCUUAGGGUUGUAAACCGCUUUCGCCUGUGACGAAGCGUGAGUGACGGUAAUGGGUAAAGAAGCACCGGCUAACUACGUG
Molecule: ribosomal RNA, 468 nt
Filed under: uncultured bacterium
Lineage: Bacteria
Description: partial 16S ribosomal RNA
Rfam family: Bacterial small subunit ribosomal RNA
Source: RNAcentral